GUUGGUUGGGGAUGUAGCUUGGCAACACUGUGCCUGCCUGGUAAGCGCAAGGUCCUGAGUUUGAUUCCUGGUACUGAAAAAAAACAAAAAAACAAAACAAAGAAACAAAAAAACAAAAAAAGAAAAGACAUGCUGCUCUUAUGGAAAGGUGACUUUUAUUUCCACCCUGAAUGAUUAUUACACCAUUAUUUAAACAUAUCUGAAAAAAUCCUGAAAUAAUUUAAACAGAAGGCACAGAACAAAUCAAAAUAUUUAACUGUAAGAACUUAAGUGAGAAAAUUCAAACAUUUCAACAGCAACAAUAAAUUAUGAACAGGUCUCCAUCACCAAAUAUCAUUCUGAUCAAAAGCUAUAGUCGCUCCUUAUAACUCUAUUGUGUUGGCUGAUUCCCAGAUUUCCAUGAUAAAAAUACUGAAAAAAAUUCUUUCAAAAUACUCAUUAGACCACCAGGUUCAGUGUAUUUUACAUAUGACCAAGUAGCAAUUAUGCUAUUUGUUGAUGGAUGCCCAACCCCUAAGAAAUGACACAUUCUUAAAAACUUUAAAAAAAGUAGCAAUGUUGGUUACAAAAUUCUAUUUGGGGAACAGAAAAAAAACUUGUUCCAAGUCAAUUAGAAUAUCAAAGCAUUUCAAUAUCAAAUUGCUUGAAAAGCCAAUCUUCAUGUAACAGUAAUAUACUGCAUGGGGCAUUUCACUGUAUCCUGAUUAAGUAUCGACUAUACAGUGUUGCUGCAGGGUUGAACAAGUCAGUAGCGAUUAUUGUCGCCAAUUCUUGUUUAUUCCAAAGAGAUAUGUUUUUUUUUUUGGUACCAGGGAUCGAACUCAGGACCUUGCGCUUGCGAGGCAGGCGGCAGAACCACUGAGCUAAAUCCCUGGCCCUGAAAGAGAUAUGUUUUUACAAAGCAUUAUAAAGCUAACUGGAAUAAUCAAUAAGAUGCUACAGAUAUAAUAAACCACAGCAAUGCGUUUGAAAAUGAAGUGGUCAUGCUUCAUAAUAUACUGUAGUAUUUGAAAUACAUUCUAUGAUUAUCAAUACCAUUUAUUACAGAGGUCACUUGGAAAUUAGCUCAGAUUCUGAACUAGCUCUCUAAGUGAAACUUUUUUCAAGUAUGCAUAAUAUUAGUAAAGAUUUUUUUUUAACUUUCUUAUGUGUUCAAAGCACAACUGUGUUGAAUAUGGGAUGAGACAGUUUUCAAAACUAUUUUAAAAAUAUGAAAUAGUCCAGUGACCAAGAGUGGACUGAAAGAUAUUAACAUAUAAAACCCACUAUUUCAGAUUUUAAAAA
RNAcentral lists this long non-coding RNA (1284 nucleotides) under Heterocephalus glaber (naked mole-rat). RNAcentral describes it as "lncRNA (ENSHGLG00100034706.1)". Lineage: Eukaryota; Metazoa; Chordata; Mammalia; Rodentia; Bathyergidae. The record is from RNAcentral.